CCACUAUUCCCUAAAAACUGAUAGAAGAAAUUCACAGGUUCCUUCAGCUCCUUGCCACGUUGUUCACAAGUUUGAUCGUGGUGGAGGGAUCAGAUCUGCAAAAGGUUCAUGGGGGCUGUGUGGCCACAGGACACCCAGGGUUUGCUGGGAAAGCUGAAAUGGCUCAGCAGCUCUGCCCUUGAGCUUGGCAGCCUGCAACAAUCACCUGCUCAAGACCAUGAGGUGCUGAGGGCAGGCAAGGGCCCCAGAAGUUGCCUGUAGGAAGUUCAUGACCUUCAAGCAGAGACAACCUUUUAUUAAAUGUGUUUAAUGUUGUUGGAUGAAGGGG
Onychostruthus taczanowskii (white-rumped snowfinch) is the source of this 328-nucleotide long non-coding RNA. RefSeq lists it as uncharacterized. The transcript has 3 exons. The record is from RefSeq and is a predicted model, not a curated record. NCBI's taxonomy places the organism in Eukaryota, Metazoa, Chordata, Aves, Passeriformes, Passeridae.